GCAAUUAUCAUUUAUUAAAAGCUUAGGGGAAAAAUGGUAAUAAACAGCUUGCACAAAAACAAUUUGGACUGCAGCAGUAGACUAACUCUGAAAAAUCACCAUAAAUUGUAGAAAUCAAAUUAUAAGAUGGAAAAAAUAUGUAAUUAAAUCUUAUUGAGUCUAGUUUCUCAUAGAAGAAAUAGUGUAAGCAAUGGAUUUGUAAAUUUUGAGAUAUAAUGAAUUUUUUGAGACAAG
RNAcentral lists this long non-coding RNA (234 nucleotides) under Gossypium barbadense (sea-island cotton). Its description in RNAcentral is "long non-coding RNA (GBAR_LNC008944)". The record is from RNAcentral. Lineage: Eukaryota; Viridiplantae; Streptophyta; Magnoliopsida; Malvales; Malvaceae.